UACGUAGGGUGCUAGCGUUGUCCGGAUUUAUUGGGCGUAAAGAGCGUGUAGGCGGCCAGGUAGGUCUGCUGUGAAAACUCGAGGCUCAACCUCGAGACGUCGGCGGAAACCAUCUGGCUAGAGUCCGGAAGAGGAGAGUGGAAUUCCUGGUGUAGCGGUGAAAUGCGCAGAUAUCAGGAGGAACACCAGUGGCGAAGGCGGUGCUCUGGGCCGGAACUGACGCUGAUGAGCGAAAGCGUGGGGAGCAAACAGG
Molecule: ribosomal RNA, 253 nt
Filed under: uncultured bacterium
Lineage: Bacteria
Description: partial 16S ribosomal RNA
Rfam family: Bacterial small subunit ribosomal RNA
Source: RNAcentral